CCCACAACAACAACAACAGACGAGAACAAAAAGACGAAGCGUGUGAAUAAAAAGACACAAUUUCUAAAAGAUUAGUGAAGCUUCCUGUGCAAUCCAUAGCCACCAAGGGAGAUGGAUCAGUAAAAUGAUAUGCACUUUGAUGUCUCAAACAAGAAUUUCAGUUAGCUUGUUACCUUCAUUUCGAAAACAGACAUAAUAGACUGACUCUAAUCUCAUAAAACAACUACUAAUUGGCUCAGUUUGACAAAAUAUCUCAAUCUUGAAUCUCUCUUUUUGCACAGUAAAAAUUGCACUUCAAUCCAAACAUACCCCCUUAAUCUUAAACCCUCCUAGUUUCCACUUUCCUAUUUACCCCGAUCCAGAUGGUGGAACAAACUAUCAAACAUGAUCAGCAGUAUAGGCUCCAUUAGCAGAUUACAGCAUUAAUUCCAAAGUAUAAUUGAGGAAACCCUCUUCUAUACCAUACACAUAAUGUCAAGAAAAUCCUCAAAAUUAUUUGCUUAAUUAUGGAAGGUAAAGGUAAAGACUUAACACCAACAAAGAUCAUGUUGUAGCACAACUUAGCAUGAUACGAUCAAACACAAGAAAAAAGUCAUCUAGAAAUAUCCAUCAACGAUCUACCUUUACACACCAUAAAUCCCUAUAAUUUCCAACCAAAAUACAAAACAAGGGAAAAUAAGUUCAAUUGUCGAGAUAAAUGAAGUAAGAUAAAGAGAUUGUGUUCUUACCAAUAAAGCAAAAGGGUUGAAAAACAAUUAGCAGUUCAGACUUUUAGAAGUUCAGACUUUCAAGCUUCAACGGAGAAUUCCAGAUAAAGAAACAGAGGAAAAAAAGAGAAGAAAAUAGGUUUCUUUUGUAGAGGUAAACAGGAGCAAGUGGUUGAGCUGAGAGAGAGGAAAUGGUGGAGCAGAUUUAUACAACAAAUUUGGAACAGAGGACUUUCUCCUUUCUAACCUAUGCCGACGUGGCUGAUUUUGUAUGGUCUGUCUCUCUCAUAGUCUAUUUAUUUCUACAUUUAAUGGAAUCUUCAAUUUGCUGCCUAAUUAUUUGUUUUUUCUUAGUUGAUACAUCAAGCCAAUCUAGCUCUUUUUUUACUUUUUUUUCUUCUUAAAAAGAGAUUUUUGUUAUUACAAAGGGAAGAAUAAAUGAGAGAGAAAAGGAGAACCUUGAGAAUUGAAUUACAGUUAAAAUUUUCAAUAGUGCUGGUGAGUUAUAAAUCUUGGUAGUGGUAACCUAGCCACCUAGCUAUCCAAUACAUGUUUCUAGCUUGUCUAAAAAAUUACGCCGUAAAUUUAAUUUGUGAUAGCAGAUUAAUUAUUAUUUUUAUCAAGUUACUAAUUAAUAGUUGUCAUAAGAGAAUAUCCGUAAUUAAAUUAUAAAUGACACAAUUGAAUCUUAUAAACAUUUUCUAUUCCAUCAAUACAAAGUAGUACUGUAGUAGUACAAUUUCACGUGCUUGAUUAAUAUUGUUUCUUUUUGUAUUUUUUGUCAUGGAUUGGAGCACAAGUAGUUGGUCACUUGUAAGUGUUUGGUGAAUUUAUUCUCAAGUAAUGAAGCCAACCAUAACAGUAUUAGUAAUGGGACAAAGAAAGAGGAUGUGAACUUCUAUUUAUUAAUGUAACAAAAAAACCUAGUUUGAUCCCAACAAGUAGGGUCUGGGGAGGGUAAUCUGUACGCAGACCUUACCCCUACCUAAUACAGAUAGAGAGGUUAUUUUCAAUAAAUUCUCAGCUCAAGGAGGGCAAAAAAAAGAAGAGGAAAGCAAUGGAGGAAGAAAGAUGGAAGAUAAAAGAAAGAGAGAGAUAAAUGAUAAGUGGUACUAAAUAAUAGCAACACCGGAAUACAAUACGUGAGGCGAACAAAAGCACAUAACAUAAUAAAAAUCUAAGAAUAUAAACGGACAUGCAUGCUACUAAGACUAUCAGUGAACAACUAUAGAUUACAUACUAACUUUCUACAUUAAUCCUCGACCUCCAUAUUCUCCUAUCAAGAGUCAUGUCUCAAGUGAGGUGAAGCAUAGUCAUAUCCUGCCUAAUUAUAUCUCCCCUAUACCUCUUAGGCCUACGUAUUCGAUUUACUUUUUUAAAAAAAAAAAUCGAUCGCUCACUGUCAUAGUUAUUUAAAAUUGUAUUGGUGUAAUGGUGUUAGAUUCAUUAGGUAAACUUAUAAACUAGUGUACUCACGAUCAUGGGCGUAAUGAGAUCUUUACUUAAAUAGUAAGUCGGAUGCUUUGUUUAUUUUUCCUAAUUGAUAUAUAAUUCAAGUGAUUGGGUGGGCGAUUAUUUGAAUUAAUUCUCCUUUCUAUUUUAUGGGUGGGUGUUCUAUAUAAUGCAUGCAUACGUAUAAAAAAAAAUUUGAAGUAUAUAAUCUCAUUUCAAGUAUCGCCUUGAGUCUUGUUUCUCAUUUACUCACAACGGAGGGUCUCGCUUGAAAUAUUCUUUUUUUAUACCCAAAAGGGUAUAUAUAUAUAUAUCUAUCAAACAUGAUCAGCAGUAUAGGCUCCAUUAGCAGAUUACAGCAUUAAUUCCAAAGUAUAAUUGAGGAAACCCUCUUCUAUACCAUACACAUAAUGUCAAGAAAAUCCUCAAAAUUAUUUGCUUAAUUAUGGAAGGUAAAGGUAAAGACUUAACACCAACAAAGAUCAUGUUGUAGCACAACUUAGCAUGAUACGAUCAAACACAAGAAAAAAGUCAUCUAGAAAUAUCCAUCAACGAUCUACCUUUACACACCAUAAAUCCCUAUAAUUUCCAAC
RNAcentral lists this long non-coding RNA (2752 nucleotides) under Nicotiana benthamiana. RNAcentral's name for it is "long non-coding RNA (NBEN_LNC012214)". The record is from RNAcentral. Lineage: Eukaryota; Viridiplantae; Streptophyta; Magnoliopsida; Solanales; Solanaceae.